Molecule: ribosomal RNA, 443 nt
Filed under: uncultured bacterium
Lineage: Bacteria
Description: partial 16S ribosomal RNA
Rfam family: Bacterial small subunit ribosomal RNA
Source: RNAcentral
CCUACGGGAGGCUGCAGUGGGGAAUAUUGGACAAUGGAGGGAACCCUGAUCCAGCGAAGCCGCGUGAGUGAAGAAGGAUUUCGGGAUGGAAAGCUCUAUCAGCAGGGAAGAAAGAAAUGACGGUACCGGACUAAGAAGCAUCGGCUAACUACGAGCCAGCAGCCGCGGUAAUACGUAGGGGGCAAGCGUUAUCCGGAUUUACUGGGUGUAAAGGGAGCGUAGACGGCGAUGCAAGUCUGAAGUGAACGGCGGGGGCCCAACCCCCGGACUGCUUUUGAAACGGUAUGGCUUGAGUGCAGGGGCGGUUACUGGAAUUCCUAGUGUAGCGGUGAAAUGCUUAGAUAUUAGGAGGAACUCCAGUGGCGAAGGCGGCUUACUGGACUGUAACUGACGUUGAGGCUCGAAAGCGUGGGUAGCAAACAGGAUUAGAUACCCGUGUAGUC